GGGCGUCUGUGGGCGGGACCUCCCGGGAUUGGAGUGAAGGGGGUAUCUGCUUGACAGUGGAUCCCUGGGGAUCUACGCUGAGUUCGGAGAUGCUCCAGCUCGGGCCGCCCCUGUCUGAGCGGAGCUUUGCGGCGCUGAAGCUUACAGGGGAAGGAAAAGCCUCGCCCGGCGUCUGAUUGGCGGAACCGCGCUGCCGCAGCCUGGGAUUCCCCAGGGACCCCCCGGAGCCGCCGCGUCUCCCAUGGACUUGCCCGGGGACUCCAGCCCGCCUGGCCAGCCGCGUCUGUGCCGCCAGCCUCUGACUCGAGCAUUAUGGGGAGCCAGGAGCCCGAAACGGCCGAGGCUGCAGCUCCCGGGGGCCCCUUCUCCCCUGGAAAAGGCCUCUCGGCGGGUCCUGGCCGUGGUGCUAGAAGAUGUCAUGGCUGUUCACAGGGUCCCCGUGGUGCCCUCAAAGGAGACCUCCAUACCACAGCACCACAGCUACCGUCAGGAUCCUGUCCACAGGCAGCCGCCUGCCUCGCCACCCCGGCAGGCCGGGUGGUCCUCGCAGGCCAGGUGAGCAUGGCAGGAUGGGGGUAAGCCGAGGGCCCAGCUGAGCC
Molecule: small RNA, 599 nt
Filed under: Pan troglodytes (chimpanzee)
Lineage: Eukaryota; Metazoa; Chordata; Mammalia; Primates; Hominidae
Description: retained intron
Source: RNAcentral